RNAcentral lists this small RNA (110 nucleotides) under Staphylococcus aureus. It matches the Rfam family "RNA Staph. aureus H". Lineage: Bacteria; Bacillati; Bacillota; Bacilli; Caryophanales; Staphylococcaceae. The record is from RNAcentral.
GUACCUUCGAUAACGAAUAAACAUCUCUUAAAAGUAUGUGUAAAACGCUGCAUGAUACAAACGAAGGUAAAAAUUUGACUCCCUUUAGUAGUGGAUGAACUGCUCCCUGU